RNAcentral lists this ribosomal RNA (253 nucleotides) under uncultured Eubacteriales bacterium. RNAcentral describes it as "uncultured Clostridiales bacterium partial 16S ribosomal RNA". It matches the Rfam family "Bacterial small subunit ribosomal RNA", at positions 524 to 776 of the family's 1533-position model. The record is from RNAcentral. Lineage: Bacteria; Bacillati; Bacillota; Clostridia; Eubacteriales.
UACGUAGGGGGCAAGCGUUAUCCGGAUUUAUUGGGUGUAAAGGGUGCGUAGACGGGAAAUUAAGUUAGUUGUGAAAUCCCUCGGCUUAACUGAGGAACUGCAACUAAAACUGAUUUUCUUGAGUACUGGAGAGGAAAGCGGAAUUCCUAGUGUAGCGGUGAAAUGCGUAGAUAUUAGGAAGAACACCAGUGGCGAAGGCGGCUUUCUGGACUGAAACUGACGCUGAGGCACGAAAGCGUGGGGAGCGAACAGG